AACGUUCUGUUUUAGACUCCUUUUUUUUGUAUUGGAUUGUCUUGUGUUUCACUGUGUAGACUUGCAGUUCCCUGUGGCUGCUGAGACACCAGAACAGCCCAUGACAUCCAACACAGCUUCAGUUGGAUCAGUUUUAGUAGAAUUCUGCGUAUCCCCAGAUAAAAAAAACUAUAUGUCUGUUUUAAACUGUCCCAGUUAGUCUUAGCAAACUAACACUGUGCAUAGCGUUGAAGCAGUAGUGGUCUCAUGGCCUUUCAUUGAGUUUUUAAUUAAACAUAUUUUCCUCAGUUAAGCAAGUUGUUGCCAGUGAGUUUGAGUAGAUUGGCAUUAUUUUUAGCAGUGUAUCAUUUUAAUUGCUAUUCAGCGCCAUGGUUUGCACCACAAAGUAGCAUCCUGGGCCACAGAACUGAACUUCAUCUCACACUUAAGUUUAAAAAAAUGUAACUCUUAUUUGUGUGUGGUUUAAAAAUCUCUUGUUUCAAACUUGUUGAAAUGUAGGGCAAGUUUUGGUUCUAAGUUUUCAGGUGCUGAUAUUUUAAUGUGUGGCUUUGUGAGUGCUGAGAAGUAAAAGGGGUGUGUAGGAGCUGCCCAGAAAAUGUCUGCUUACAAAAGUGAAAUCCUCAAGUUUACGUGUGAGGUGACUUCUGACUUGUGCCUUGCUGUAGUUUGAGUGUUAUGAAAAGGCCUUAAAAAUACUCAGUGGGUCAGUUCGAAUAUAUUUUACUGAUGCUGCCCAGUCAGAUGUGUGGCUACCUCAAAAAACAUUUUUUUUUAUCUUGGUGUGCUCUAUUGUACAAUAACAUUAUGGCUUUAUUGUGAGUUUCUCUGUUUAGGGAGAAUCCACUGAAAGGUGUCUGCUUCUGACAUUAACAAAGCACUUGUUACAAUAAAUAAUAUUGGCUUUUAAAAUGAAAGGCUUUGAAAUAAAGAGAAUUAAAGGAUUAUAAGUAACA
Long non-coding RNA from Etheostoma spectabile (orangethroat darter), 953 nucleotides. RefSeq lists it as uncharacterized. The transcript is spliced from 3 exons. Lineage: Eukaryota; Metazoa; Chordata; Actinopteri; Perciformes; Percidae. The record is from RefSeq and is a predicted model, not a curated record.